GUGAGUAACACGUGAGUAACCUGCCUUAGACAUUGGGAUAGCCUCGGGAAACCGGGAUUAAUACCAAAUAAAAUCAUAAUGACACAUGUCAUAACGAUCAAAACUCCGGUGGUCUAAGAUGGACUCGCGUCCCAUUAGCUAGUUGGUAGAGUAAAAGCCUACCAAGGCGACGAUAGGUAGCCGGCCUGAGAGGGUGAACGGCCACAUUGGAACUGAGAAACGGUCCAA
This 228-nucleotide ribosomal RNA is filed under the name uncultured Eubacteriales bacterium. RNAcentral describes it as "uncultured Clostridiales bacterium partial 16S ribosomal RNA". It matches the Rfam family "Bacterial small subunit ribosomal RNA", at positions 106 to 334 of the family's 1533-position model. The record is from RNAcentral. Lineage: Bacteria; Bacillati; Bacillota; Clostridia; Eubacteriales.